This 431-nucleotide long non-coding RNA is filed under the name Medicago truncatula (barrel medic). Its description in RNAcentral is "lncRNA gene17082". Lineage: Eukaryota; Viridiplantae; Streptophyta; Magnoliopsida; Fabales; Fabaceae. The record is from RNAcentral.
GGAAAAAAAUCACCAACGCUGAAUCCUCCAAGGAGUUCCUGGUACUCAUCAAGCAUCUUUUGAAAACCAUAUUUUUUACUCUCUCCUCCUUCUGUAAAGUCCCUUCCAAAUGCUACACGGCAAACAACAUUAUUUGCAUAAAGUCCCAAUAUCUUGGACAAAUUGAUAGCUCCUGGAUAAGACCCUGCAACCCUUUCAACUAAACUAGCAACUUCUUCUUCUCUAACAACACUGUAUGAGUUUACCCUUUUGGCACUUAGAAGCUCAAGUAUGCAAAUUUUUCUCACAUGCCUCCAGUAAGCACUGUAAGGAGCGAAAGCGAUGUCUGUACAAUUGUAAAAGAGGUACUUAGCUGAAAACAGUUGCGGUCGGCUUGCGAGUGCAAGGUCAUGUGUUUUCAACACCUCCUUUGCUAGUCUAGCUGAUGAAAC